UUCUUCUUUCUCGUGGUGCUGGAAAUCAAACUCAGGGCCUCAUGCAUGCUAGGCAAGCCCUCUAUCACUGCGCUAAUGUCGGGAGCAAUUCCACAUGAUUUUAAGGAAAAAAAAUAAUUUCAUAAUUAAAUUAGGGCCUAGUUUUCCUGCCUACAGGCCAGCUACGAUAUAACUCCAUUCUCUCCUGUGGUCACAGCUAGACCUCCACGGUCCAGGGAUGCUGCAAUUCUCCAAGGCAGGACUACACCAGCUGGAGACAUCCUGGGAGGAAUCAAAUCUUCAUCUGCGCAGUUCCUCACUCUUCUAGGAUUAUUACGCGCUGCCACUCUCUGAGUCAUCCGCUACUUUGUUUCUCCUGAUGUUGUGAAUGAAGUGCCUACGGACCUAGGUUUGUACAGCCCAGGGAUGCUCUCUAAGAAGCAGCCCAGAUGAUAACCCUUGUGGUGUUUGGGAAGCACUGUGGAUGCACAUUGCCCACUCGGGGCCGGUCUGUCACAACCCGGAAGAGGAGCCACUUGCGUUACUGAGCCUCCUGAGUGCUGGGAUUACAGGCAUGCGCCACCACGCCCGGCCCGUUCUUCGUCCUUUGGCCAGAAGAGGGAGCAAUUGUGCUUCCAAUGGCUCACCUAUGAAAACACUCCAGUAACAGGUCAGGACCUUCAAGAGCAUCUGAUUUCACUUCAUGGUGCUGCUCCUCCUCUUCUACAUUUUUGCCAUAGCUGGUGACUACUUUUUUAAGGAUUUCACCUGUUCGACUCAUCAGGACCUGGUGUACAAGGAGCCCUUUUUGGGCCUGCCAAACUGUCCUCAUCACUUCAUGAUGGACCACUGGAACACGCUGCUCCAGGACAUCUGGAAGGGGCCGGAAGUCAACUCUGUCAUCUGCAGCACCCAUGUCACCCUCUGGGUGCUGCUGGGCUCCAUCACUUUUUUUUAUGUACUGGGGAUUGAACUUGGGACCUUGUGCUUGAAAGGCAGGCGGCAGAACCACUAAGCUAAAUCCCCAGCCCUCUGUUGUUUUUUGAAGUGUCAUAAUAAGCAUUAUGGCUAUUAACUUUCAGGGCCAUGGCUAAUAACAUCCGGAAUGAGCUGGAUAAGGCCACUCAGCACAAAGCAGAUGUCCUCAAGCCCUCAGGAGGAGAUGGAACCUGUCCUUCACAGCACUGAGGCCAAGCCACAGCAAAAUCAAUGCCAGAGAAGUCAGUCAACAAAGGAUGUCGUUGGACUUCCAAGAAGCUUCUGAAAAAGUCUAAACUGAGCUCUGGCAAAACUUUGCCAAGGGACUUCUGGGACUUGGUUCCAGGUAAUUAUUUAUUUAGUGAAAGAUGAAUUCUAUUAUGCAUAAAGAUAGGGCCGUCUAAGUACUUAGUGUGCAUUAUUUUAUUUCUUUUUUUCAUUCAUUAAUUUUAAUGGCACAUUUCAUUUUAGGUAUACAA
This is a long non-coding RNA of Fukomys damarensis (Damara mole-rat), 1436 nucleotides long. RefSeq lists it as uncharacterized. NCBI's taxonomy places the organism in Eukaryota, Metazoa, Chordata, Mammalia, Rodentia, Bathyergidae. The record is from RefSeq and is a predicted model, not a curated record. The transcript is spliced from 4 exons.